This 253-nucleotide ribosomal RNA is filed under the name uncultured bacterium. Its description in RNAcentral is "partial 16S ribosomal RNA". It matches the Rfam family "Bacterial small subunit ribosomal RNA", at positions 524 to 776 of the family's 1533-position model. The record is from RNAcentral.
UACGAAGGAGGCAAGCGUUGUUCGGAUUUACUGGGCGUAAAGGGAGCGUAGGUGGUUAGGUAAGCCCUCCGGGAAAUCUUCAGGCUUAACCUGAAAAGGUCGGGGGGGACUGCCUGGCUAGAGGACGGGAGAGGAGCGCGGAAUUCCCGGUGUAGCGGUGAAAUGCGUAGAGAUCGGGAGGAAGGCCGGUGGCGAAGGCGGCGCUCUGGAACGUUUCUGACACUGAGGCUCGAAAGCGUGGGGAGCAAACAGG